This 368-nucleotide ribosomal RNA is filed under the name uncultured bacterium. RNAcentral describes it as "bacterial SSU rRNA". It matches the Rfam family "Bacterial small subunit ribosomal RNA", at positions 99 to 471 of the family's 1533-position model. The record is from RNAcentral.
CGAACGGGUGAGUAAUAUAUCGGAACGUGCCCUAGAGUGGGGGAUAACUAGUCGAAAGAUUAGCUAAUACCGCAUACGAUCUACGGAUGAAAGUGGGGGAUCGCAAGACCUCAUGCUCAUGGAGCGGCCGAUAUCUGAUUAGCUAGUUGGUAGGGUAAAAGCCUACCAAGGCAUCGAUCAGUAGCUGGUCUGAGAGGACGACCAGCCACACUGGGACUGAGACACGGCCCAGACUCCUACGGGAGGCAGCAGUGGGGAAUUUUGGACAAUGGGCGCAAGCCUGAUCCAGCAAUGCCGCGUGAGUGAAGAAGGCCUUCGGGUUGUAAAGCUCUUUUGUCAGGGAAGAAACGGACUGGGUUAAUACCUUG